CGAUACGACCGUACCGCAAACCGACACUGGUGCGCGAGAUGAGUAUUCUAAGGCGCUUGAGAGAACUCAGGAGAAGGAACUCGGCAAAUUGACACCGUAACUUCGGAAGAAGGUGUGCCCUAUUAGUGUGUAGUGAACAACGAAGCAUGAAUGGGUUGCAAAAAAUCGGUGGCUGCGACUGUUUAUUAAAAACACAGCACUCUGCAAACACGAAAGUGGACGUAUAGGGUGUGACGCCUGCCCGGUGCUGGAAGAUUAAAUGAUGGGGUGCAAGCUCUUGAUUGAAGUCCCAGUAAACGGCGGCCGUAACAAUAACGGUCCUAAGGUAGCGAAAUUCCUUGUCGGGUAAGUUCCGACCUGCACGAAUGGCGUAACGAUGGCCACACUGUCUCCUCCUGAGACUCAGCGAAGUUGAAAUGUUUGUGAUGAUGCAAUCUCCCCGCGGAAAGACGGAAAGACCCCAUGAACCUUUACUGUAGCUUUGUAUUGGACUUUGAACAGAUCUGUGUAGGAUAGGUGGGAGGCUUUGAAGCAGGGUCGCUAGAUCUUGUGGAGCCAACGUUGAAAUACCACCCUGGUGUGUUUGAGGUUCUAACCUAGGUCCAUUAUCUGGAUCGGGGACAGUGCAUGGUAGGCAGUUUGACUGGGGCGGUCUCCUCCCAAAGCGUAACGGAGGAGUUCGAAGGUACGCUAGUUACGGUCGGACAUCGUGACGAUAGUGCAAUGGCAUAAGCGUGCUUAACUGCGAGACUGACAAGUCGAGCAGAUGCGAAAGCAGGACAUAGUGAUCCGGUGGUUCUGUAUGGAAGGGCCAUCGCUCAACGGAUAAAAGGUACUCUGGGGAUAACAGGCUGAUACCGCCCAAGAGUUCAUAUCGACGGCGGUGUUUGGCACCUCGAUGUCGGCUCAUCUCAUCCUGGGGCUGUAGCCGGUCCCAAGGGUAUGGCUGUUCGCCAUUUAAAGAGGUACGUGAGCUGGGUUUAAAACGUCGUGAGACAGUUUGGUCCCUAUCUUCCGUGGGCGCUGCAGAUUUGAGGAAGCCUGCUCCUAGUACGAGAGGACCGGAGUGGACACACCUCUGGUGUAUCGGUUGUCACGCCAGUGGCAUUGCCGAGUAGCUAAGUGUGGAAGAGAUAACCGCUGAAAGCAUCUAAGCGGGAAACUCGUUUCAAGAUGAGAUCUGCCGGGGCCUUGAGCCCCCUAAAGAGUCGUUCAAGACCAGGACGUUGAUAGGUCAGGUGUGGAAGUGAA
RNAcentral lists this ribosomal RNA (1251 nucleotides) under metagenome. RNAcentral describes it as "bacterial LSU rRNA". It matches the Rfam family "Bacterial large subunit ribosomal RNA", at positions 1634 to 2877 of the family's 2925-position model. The record is from RNAcentral.